RNAcentral lists this ribosomal RNA (433 nucleotides) under uncultured bacterium. RNAcentral's name for it is "partial 16S ribosomal RNA". It matches the Rfam family "Bacterial small subunit ribosomal RNA", at positions 29 to 507 of the family's 1533-position model. The record is from RNAcentral.
AAUGAACGCUGGCGGCAUGCCUAACACAUGCAAGUCGAACGAGAACACCGGGAGCAGUGGCGUAUGGGUGCGUAACGGGAGGGAACCUGCACUCAGGUAUGGCAUACCUACACGACAGGGGUGCUAAUACCGAACAAGGUCUUAGGCCCAAAGAUAUAUUGCAUUUGGAUGGGCCCGCGUUGAAUUCGCUAGUUGGUAGGGUAAAAGCCUACUACGGCGCCGAUCAAUAGCUGGUUUGAGAGGAUGAUCAGCCACACUGGGACUGAGACGCGGCCCAGACUCCUACGGGAGGCAGCAAUGGGGAAUAUUGGACAAUGGGCUGAAUCCUGAUCCAGCAAUGCCGCGUAAGUGAUGAAAGCCUUAGAGUUGUAAAGCUCUUUUAACCGUGAUGGUAUUGACAGUACCGGGAGAGUAAGCUCCGGCUAACUCCGUG